GAAGUGAUUUACUCAUGGAGCUGAAGUCAGUCGAAGAUACCAGCUGGCUGCAACUGUUUAUUAAAAACACAGCACUGUGCAAACACGAAAGUGGACGUAUACGGUGUGACGCCUGCCCGGUGCCGGAAGGUUAAUUGAUGGGGUCAGCGCAAGCGAAGCUCCUGAUCGAAGCCCCGGUAAACGGCGGCCGUAACUAUAACGGUCCUAAGGUAGCGAAAUUCCUUGUCGGGUAAGUUCCGACCUGCACGAAUGGCGUAAUGAUGGCCAGGCUGUCUCCACCCGAGACUCAGUGAAAUUGAACUCGCUGUGAAGAUGCAGUGUACCCGCGGCAAGACGGAAAGACCCCGUGAACCUUUACUAUAGCUUGACACUGAACAUUGAGCCUUGAUGUGUAGGAUAGGUGGGAGGCUUUGAAGUGUGGACGCCAGUCUGCAUGGAGCCGACCUUGAAAUACCACCCUUUAAUGUUUGAUGUUCUAACGUGGACCCGUAAUCCGGGUUGCGGACAGUGUCUGGUGGGUAGUUUGACUGGGGCGGUCUCCUCCUAAAGAGUAACGGAGGAGCACGAAGGUUGGCUAAUCCUGGUCGGACAUCAGGAGGUUAGUGCAAUGGCAUAAGCCAGCUUGACUGCGAGCGUGACGGCGCGAGCAGGUGCGAAAGCAGGUCAUAGUGAUCCGGUGGUUCUGAAUGGAAGGGCCAUCGCUCAACGGAUAAAAGGUACUCCGGGGAUAACAGGCUGAUACCGCCCAAGAGUUCAUAUCGACGGCGGUGUUUGGCACCUCGAUGUCGGCUCAUCACAUCCUGGGGCUGAAGUAGGUCCCAAGGGUAUGGCUGUUCGCCAUUUAAAGUGGUACGCGAGCUGGGUUUAGAACGUCGUGAGACAGUUCGGUCCCUAUCUGCCGUGGGCGCUGGAGAACUGAGGGGGGCUGCUCCUAGUACGAGAGGACCGGAGUGGACGCAUCACUGGUGUUCGGGUUGUCAUGCCAAUGGCACUGCCCGGUAGCUAAAUGCGGAAGAGAUAAGUGCUGAAAGCAUCUAAGCACGAAACUUGCCCCGAGAUGAGUUCUCCCUGAGACUUUAGGUCUCCUGAAGGAACGUUGAAGACGACGACGUUGAUAGGCCGGGUGUGUAAGCGCAGCGAUGCGUUGAGCUAACCGGUACUAAUGAACCGUGAGGCUUAACCUUACA
Molecule: ribosomal RNA, 1187 nt
Filed under: Salmonella enterica
Lineage: Bacteria; Pseudomonadati; Pseudomonadota; Gammaproteobacteria; Enterobacterales; Enterobacteriaceae
Description: partial 23S ribosomal RNA
Rfam family: Bacterial large subunit ribosomal RNA
Source: RNAcentral